UGGGGAAUUUUGGACAAUGGGGGCAACCCUGAUCCAGCAAUGCCGCGUGUGUGAAGAAGGCCUUCGGGUUGUAAAGCACUUUUGUCCGGAAAGAAAUCCUUGGCUCUAAUACAGUCGGGGGAUGACGGUACCGGAAGAAUAAGCACCGGCUAUCUACGUGCCAGCAGCCGCGGUAAUACGAAGGGUGCAAGCGUUACUCGGAAUUACUGGGCGUAAAGCGUGCGUAGGUGGUUUGUUAAGUCUGAUGUGAAAGCCCUGGGCUCAACCUGGGAAUGGCAUUGGAAACUGGCGGACUCGAGUGCGGUAGAGGGGGUGUGGAAUUCCCGGUGUAGCAGUGAAAGUGCGUAGAGAUCGGGAGGAACACCAGUGGCGAAGGCGACACCCUGGACCAGCACUGACACUGAGGCACGAAAGCGUGGGGAGCAAACAGGAUUAGAUACCCUGGUAGUCCACGCCCUAAACGAUGCGAACUGGAUGUUGGGUGCAACUUGGCACUAGUAUCGAAGCUAACGCGUUAAGUUCGCCGCCUGGGGAGUACGGUCGCAAGACUGAAACUCAAAUGAAUUGACGGGGUCAUAGC
This 580-nucleotide ribosomal RNA is filed under the name uncultured bacterium. RNAcentral's name for it is "partial 16S ribosomal RNA". It matches the Rfam family "Bacterial small subunit ribosomal RNA", at positions 355 to 925 of the family's 1533-position model. The record is from RNAcentral.